CCUUAUCACCUUUUUUUCUCUUUCUUUUGCAAUAUAAUAGAAUACUCACACACUGUCAUAUGCGGACUCACCCCCUCCCCCAAUAUACAUACACACUCACUGGUACAGAGAAUUAGCAGUAACAAUACACGUCAUAUGCACUCCACAAUGCAAUACACUCACUGAAAAUUGGAGAAACAAUACACGCACACCAGACAUUCUUCCAUUUUCACCAAUACACACAGCUUUCACUCACAGAAGAUCACACACACACAUUCACGCACGGGGGGAGAGAAAAGGGGACCUCACCAUACUAUGGACACUACACUCACACGAAAACCUCACUGAAAUACAUCUACCCUACUAAAAUAUAAUUCACCAAAAUCACAGCCAUACACUCACGCGCACAGCAACACACUCACACGCAGAGAGUAGAAGCAGAGGGAAAAUGAUAAACAGAGAGAGAUAGAAAACACAGUGAGAGAGGAAUGAAAUGGAGUAGACUGAAAAGAGAUCGGAGAAACAGAAAUGGGAAAAACCCUCGCCGAAAACAACCUGUCCAGUGACGCAAGCCCACUGGGAAACCAGUUCCGCCCCUAAGCUUUCGAAACCAGCGACCAAAGGCCUCAAAACCGACCAAAUUCUCAUAUUCAGGCGAGGCCCCGCUCAAUUUCUGAUGAACAGCUGGCGAGCUUUCACUGAAAAUUCCAUCGACUCGUCAACCAUUAUCCACCCAUCAGAAAGCAACCAUAAUCCGACUAACUUCAGUAUCCUGGCGGGGAUUUUGUCUUUCUUUCAUGAGUUUUGGCCUGGUUAGUGAGAAAUAGAAUCGGGUGUGGCGACAUCAACGAUAUUGAUUUGGGGUUUUUGAUUUUGAGGUUCGAAUCGAGGCUCUCGACGUGGACUCCAUUUCGUUUAAUUGAGUAAUACUUGAAUGAAAGCGACAUUAAGGUCCACUCUUUAUCUCACUCUCGAUUCAUUUUAAUUGUUUGAUAUUUUGUGUGGUAAAUUUAUUGGUGUGUGAAUUUUGUUUGUCGUUGAUUUUGAUAUGCUUGGAUCAUCGUAAGUGAUUGUUAAUAUUGAUGGUUUGAUUAUUUGAAUUGAAUAAUUGAACAAUUUAAACUCAAUUGAGAAUAAGUAGGGAACGGGAUCGAAUAGUGAUAAAAAAUGAAUAUUGGCUCAGAUUGGUUCAUCGAUUGAGUUGGUUUGAAAUGAACAUUAAUUUUGUCGAAUUCAAUAGUAUUUUGUUUAGGUCGUCAAAUGGGUAAGCAAACUUAGGGAUUGUGAAUUGUGAAUGUUUGAAGUGUUUGUUGAAUGGUGUUGGUUUUCGUGCAUUAAAAAAAAUAUACUUAUUUAAACGGGUAAUGCCCCGAGGCCAUUUGUAUUUAUCCACUAGGGAAUGCCCCCAAGUAUCUUGUACGCAAAGGACGUUCGUGAUAAAUGACCAAGGCGUUGGGUAGAGAAUAGUUCAGGUUAGUAUAGGUUAGUGUAGGUUUAUUUCAGUAUCUUUAUUUCGGACUGUAAUAAUUGGAGUAAACACUGUUUUUUGGAGUUUGAAUUGUUUGGUUGUUUUUUUUUUUUUUUUUUUUUUUUGAGUUUUUGUUGGUUUAUACAUUCCAUAGUGUUGUACAAGCUGAUUUACUCCACGAAAUGAUCGUGGUUGAACCACGGGACCGGGGGAUGCCUAACAUUUUUUCCUCGAUCAACAGAAUUCCUUAGCCGAAAUCUCUAUUUGCAAAUCAGUUUAAAGAGUCAAAAUUGUUUUGAAGAAGGAUUUCCAAAGGUGACUUGGUACACCAGAUUUAUGCCAAGUGGAAAAUCUGAAUUUAAAUGUAAAAGAAUCCUUUUUCGAAAUAAACUUUAUCUUUUGUCACUUAAUAAUAAAAAUCCUUUCAACCUUAAAAUGAAAUCUUUUUGGUAAAAAAGAGGUGUGACAGCUCUGGCGACUCUGCUGGAGAUAUUUUAGAAUUCGAGCUUAUUUUUUCGAGUUGUAUCGGCUUAGUGUGACACAAUGGGUUUAUAGAAAUUUUGUUUGUGCUAUUAUUUGUGUUAUUUUUUUAUCAUUGUUGGAUGUGUAUGUUCUACGUGUUUACAGUUUUCUCUUAUGUGUUACCGCUUCAUAUCUAGCAUCAUAUGCGUUACUUCGAGUUAUUAUUUUCUGUAAUAAGUUUCGAAGUACACUUCAUAUACACGAACUCUAGUUGAGUCACCUUUAUUUUAGGAGGAGGAGCCAUCAGAUGUAUGGAGUAGGUGGAAAGCAAUCGCAGCCACUAUCGACCAUAUACGCCCUCGAACAGCCUUGUUAGUGGACCCCGACCUAGAUCAGCCUUUAGGUCAUGCUUAUUUGCAUCAUAUUGAGACCUAGCGGGAUCCACUUGGUCCUUUGUAGGAGACUUACUCCUAAAGCAUCCCUACGUGCUAAUUGUUGCAUUUUCGAGGGUAACAGGGUCAUUUGACUGAUUGAUUUAGGGAAAAGCGUGUGUUUAGGCAAGAACAAUUCGAAAAAAGAAAAUAAAGGUGAAUCAGAAAAGAGUUUCGUAGUUUUUAGAGUUAUUUAUGGAUUUUGUUUUCCACAAUUCAAAAAUUCAAAAAGAAUUUUUACCUUUUGCACUCAUUUGUCAAAAACAAAAACAUCAAAAAGAUUUUCCUUUUGUUUCUUUAGUAAGCAUUCAUAAUUCAAAAAUUUCAAUGCAAAUUUUUCUUAAUCGAGCUUUUUAUAAAAUAAAUGCAAAAAAAUGGUAGAUGUUUUGUACAUUUCAUAUAACGAAAUACCAAAAAGAUUUUUUUUCAUAGUUAUUGAUCAUUUUAUGUGAAGUGUCAAAUUGAAAACUCAAAAAAGAUUUUAUUGACUUUUUCAUUGUCUGUCUUUGUUGUGUCCCUCAAGUCGUGGUUCAUCAGUAUUUUUAAUUGUCUAAAUCUGGAAGAACUACGCACACCUGAUUCUCCUCUCUCUGGAGUGAGAUACAUAGGCAGCCAUUCUAGGGUUCGGUGAUCUUAUUUAAAAAAUCCUUAAAAAAACUUUUUCACUCUUCAUUUAGAGUAGGUGUUUCAUAUAGAUAUUUAAGAGAAAAUUACAAAAAGAUUUUCCUUUAAUAGUUUCAAGUUUCAUUUUUGUAUGAAAUUAAAAAUUGAAAACCCAAAUAGAUUUUUCUUUGGUAAUCGUAGGUUUCAUUUUGUAUAGAGAUUUUAAAGUUGGAAAAUUCAAAAAUAUUUAUCGUCAAUUCUUUUGACAAUUUGUUAUUUUCUUUUCUUCUUAAAGUUUUAAUAAAAAAAGAGAUUUUGAUCGGCCAUGUUGGGCCAAAACUUCACGAACUAGGCACACCAAAUUAUCCUCUCUUGAGAGUGAUAUAUGUAGGUGCCCUUCUUGGGUUCGGUGAUCUUUUCCAAAGAAAGAAAAAUAGAGAAAAAGAUUUUGAGAAAAUAUUGAACUCUAAUACUUUUGUUAUCUCUUGUUCAAUUAGUUUAAAGUAGUUGGUUUGUGGCAUUUUGGCUGGUCCUCCACAUUGCACCAACUCGAAGAGAAAGUUAUGGCCAACAAGGAUACUGAGAUUGUUGUCACUAAUCAGAUAGUGAGUUUGGGAAAUGAGAAUUUAGAAGCUAAUGAAGAGAUUCGGAAAUUAUGGCAAUAAAUAAUAGAAAUGCAUCGAGCUUGGCCUAAUGGGUUGCCGUCUCCUCCAUUUCCCACUGAUAAUCUAAAAUAUCUUUCUAGCUUGCCUCCCGUGUCACAUGCAUAAUUUCCCAUUUAUGUUGACAUACCAAAACAUGCAUCAGGGUCCACUUUGGGGCAACACUAUCCAAGCACUUCUAAUAUUCAUUUCCUCACACCUCAACACAAAACUACCACGUACUCGGCUCCACCUACUAUUCAUGUUUUUGCAGCUACAUUCCCACUUGAAGCUCCUAAUUUGAGGUUCGGGCAACCGGUUGUUCCUCCCUACUCUACGAGAGAGCCUGUAUUAAAUAUUUUUGAUGAUCAGUAUUAUGCUCUCGAGCCCACAUUUAAGUCGACUGGUCCUUAUGGCAACAUUCAACCUCUUGAAUUUCAUCUCAACACUGAGAAUCCUAUUGUGACAGAAGAAUAGGAGGGGAUGACACAGAAUCUGAAUAGUUUAGAACAAGCCAUGAGAAACUUUCAAGGGCUCAAGGGUUACAAAAAUGUCUCUUAUAAAGAUUUGUGCAUGUUUCUAGGUGUUAAUCUCUCUUUUGGUUUUAAAAUGCUGAAGUUUGAGAAAUAUGGCUGGCAUGGGGACCUAGUGGCACAUUUGAGGCUUAUUGUAACCAUCCAAGGGGCGCUGAAGGGAAAGAAGAAUUGCUCAUGGCUUAUUUCAGUGAGAGUCUUUCAAGUCUAGCUUCGAAAUGGUUUGUUGACCAAGACAUCGACAAGUGGAAUAGUUGGGAUGACCUAGUUAAUGAAUUCGUGCAACAAUUCUAAUACAAUGUGGAGUUGAUUCUUGACGAGAAAUCCUUAACUAAUAUGAAGAAGAAGAGUAUAAAAAGUUUCAGGGAAAUGCGAUUAGAUGGCGUGAACAAGCUGCUAGGGUGAAACCACCAAUGAAAGAAAGCAAGAUAGUGGAGGUGUUUAUUCAAGCGUAGGAUAAAACAUAUUAUCAACACUUGUUACCUGCAUUAGGCAAUCCAUUUAUUGAGUCCCUCAAAAUGGGAGAGAUGAUAGAGGAUAGAAUUAAGACUUGUCGCAUUGUGAGUUAUGAAACAUUGAAAGCAACUACUCAAGCAAUUCAAAAGGGUUCAGAAAAUGCUAGAGGGAAGAAGAAUAAGGAAGAUGUAUCUGCUAUGAUAGCUGGACAACAGGCAUAUCCAAGAAGGCCACAUCGCCAUUACCCUCAGUCUCAAGCCUAAGUUCGUAACCAAACUCUAUAUAUUCACUCCUAAAAACCAUUAUAUUCUAUUCCACCACCUCCAUAUCCAGUAUGCGACCAACCAUAUACUUAUCUGUCUUCUUAUCCACAAUGGUGUGCAUCGGUCCCUCAACAUCGUCCUUAACCCCCACAUAUUUACCAAGGAACCACUAAGCCCAGUUUCAACCGAGCCGGAGUUUGCAAAAAGGAGGAAGUCAAAGGCUAAUUUUAUACGAAAUGUGUCUGAUAGUGGUGAAAACUCUAGUCAUGGUGUUGUGCAAAUCAGUGAAUACGAUGUCAAGCUCAGCAAUUGGGAAGUCACUCUUUUUCUUACUUGGAAGUAUUUUUGGUAGUUUUUUUUGUUUUUCUUUCUGUUUUCCGAAUUAGUUGAGGGUUGUAGUUCAAAAUCUAUCUUGUUUUGUUUCUCUGUCAUUUUUGUUUAAACUUUUCUAUCUUUUUUUAAUGAAAUAUGGUGUCCUUGUUGUUUUGCCUUAUUUAGGUUGUUUGUUUGUUUUCUUUACACAGUUCCUUAUAUGUUAGUUCUAGUGAUAUGACAUGCUGGCGGAAUUUUCAGCUAGAUCUUAAAAUCCAGUUUAAGCAUGAACUUUGAAUUAGAGGGCUAAAGUUAGAAAAAGAGAGCAGCUAAGAAAAUAGGUAGAGUGUUAAGGCAUUUGGUGAUCAAAUUGAAGCCUUCUUUAAAAAUCAAAGCAAUUAUUUUAAGACGCGCAAGAAUAACUUGGUCAUCAAUUGAAAAACAUAUCUCAAAUAGGUCAAAUAGUGAACGUGUGAUCCUUAUGUUAAGAGAAACAGAAAGAUAAUCAGCUCCAUAAAAACAUGGGUCAUUCGAUGUGAGAGGUGUACAACAAAGGUGGAGUUGUAUAUUUCACAAGUGUAGAAGAAGAAGUGGCACACAUGCUCAGUGUCACAAAUGAUCUUCAUCUUUCACUUUAUAUUGCAUAUAUGCACUUGCAUUUUCAAGGAUUGAUAUGACAAAGGCAUUCCAUUCUGCUAUCCAAAUGUUGUGUCAUUAUUUGUUUACCCCAUUUGAGCUUUAGUUCUAUUUUCUUUCAUAUCUCUCUUUUGGAAUCAAGAUAGAGUUAGUAAAGCUCAAAAAGAAAAGUAUCGAGCAAAAGAAUAGAGUCAGGAAUGUUUCAAAAGUAAAUAAAUAAAUAAAAAGAAAGAAAUAUGUCCAAAAGAAAGAAAAAGAAGAAUGUCAAGAAAAAUAGAUCAGAAAAGUCCUAAAGAGAAAAAGAGUCACUGAAAAAAGAGAAAUUCGAAUCAAGGAAAACAAAUUGUCAGAACUACGUGUGACCUGAUUCUCCUCUUUCGGAAGUGAGAUACGUAGGCUUCCCUACUCUGGGCUCGGUUCAACCAAAUAAACAAUUUAGAAUUGUCCAGUCAAAAGAAACUGGGGCAUGAGUUGAUUUUUAUUAUUUGAGUCAAUUCCAAAAUUUGUAAGUCCCACCCCAAAGUGUCGUUUGGGCCUCAUACCAUCAUUUCUUUCUAACCUUAUCCAAAAGUCAAGUUACAAUCAAAGAAGGACCUUUAUAUCAAUCUUUAAGAAUAUUAAGGCUAAGCAUGCAAUGGAUAUGAUGACGCAUUUUGAGUAUUAUUUGUCUUCCUCAACAUAAGGAAUCAGGAGAGAAAUAAAAAUAAAAGAGUCUUAUUUGUGAAAAUCCUCACGGGCACUAUAAGAUGAUGGUAAGCUGAGAGAGAUAAAAAUGAGAGAGUUUUAUCGAUGAAAAUAUUCACUGGCACCGUAAGACGAUUAUGAGUUGAGAGAUAUGAAAAGGAGAAAGUCUCAUAAAGUCUUGCUGGUGAAAAUUCUCAUGAACACCACAAGGCAAUGGUGAGCUGAGAAAAAGAAAAUCUGAGAGCCUUAUUGGCGAUAAACCUUCAAGGCAUCACUAGCCGAAUGAGGUCUCUGAAUGCAAUUGGCCCAAGGAAGCAACUCAGUUUCAAGGUUAUUAACUCAACAACAAUUGGUGGAAAGUUUGGAUAAAAAGAUCGGGCAGCUUAAUCCAAAAAAUGCAUGGCAUAAUCAUUAGAAUUUAUUCUCAUUUUCAGAUAAAUCUUUUCUUUCCUUUAUUUUCAAAAAGGGACAAACAUUGUCUUUCUUUCUUCUCAAUAUUUUCAUUUUUAUUGUCUUUUUGAGUCUGUCAUUGAACAAAAAAUCAUUUUUCUCAUGUCUUAGAGUCAAGUCAUGUCAAAACAAGUGAGAAAGGAUCUCAAAACUUGCUACCAACUUCUUCAAUUGCACACAGCAAGAUAAAAGGCUAGCACAUAAAAGGAAUAUAAUUGUGAGUCGAAACAAGACAAGUAGAAAGAUUUGCCAGAAAACAAGUUUGGGGAAUUAAGUAAAUACCAAGGUUCAAAAGAAUUGUCUAAGAGACAUAGCAAAACAGAGAUACUGUGUUUGUUUCAGAGUCACUUUUAAUAGUCUGAGUUUGGAUCAAUGAUGCAACAAGUCAAUGACAUAUUCCAUUAGUUGAAAGCAAAAUCAAUGGGACAAAUGCAAUAGAAAUCGCCUCAAAAUCCAAAGUCGCAAGCCAACCACCAUGUUCAAACUCAUAAGCUUUUCUUUGUGUGAAAUAGAAAUAGUUGCUACCUUCAAAUCAAAGGCUUCAAAGCGCAAAUAUCUAGAGGUGUAAUUCCUUAUUUCUACAAAUACAAGAGCAGUGUUGUUGUAUAGGUUUGGUAAUCACAAAUAUGGUAAAACUCAUCAUCUUGUACUCCUAAGAGACGCAUUCUCUAAUUUGGGUCUUUCAUAUCUCAUGGCUAGGAGGUGCACUCCCUAAUUUGAGCCGUUAAUCUUAGAAGAUGCACUUUUGGUAAGAAUCUUUCACUUUCACUCUUAAGAGACAAACUUAUUGGACUCGAUAAUUCAAUUUUAUCCUUAAAAAGUGCAUUUGUUCAUUGGAAUCUUAAUUCAUCUUUGCAAUAUCCAUUGUUGCAAGUAGUUGUGAUUGGGUUUGACACCCACAAAAGCUUUUGAAAAUAAAAUUUAAUUCCUAUUAUUUAGAACUUUACUUUAGGACCCUCUUUGAAAAUAGGGCAUUACUUUAUGUUCAAGACCCCCCUGGAAAAUGGGGCAUUACUUUUUGUUGAGGAUCCUCCGGAAGAAGGGGCAUUACUUUCUGUUCAGGACCCUCCUGAAAAAUGGGGCAUUACUUUGUGAUUAGAACCAACCUAGAAAAUGGGACAUUAUUUAUUUUUUGAAAAAUGAAAUCUUUCUUUAUCAUAAUCUUUAUUUAGGAUAACUUUUCGUUCUAGUUUUGAUUUUGAUGACAGGAGCCCGUCUAGAGAAUAAGGUGAUGAAAUUGAAAGUCAGGAACCUGCCUGAAGAACAUGGUGAUGAAAUUGCAAGCCAGGAGUUUGCCUGAAGAACAGGGUGAUGAAAUGGAGAGUUAGGAGUCCGCCUGAAGAACAGGGUGAUGAAAUGACAAGUCGGGAGCCCGCCUGAAGAAUAGGGUAAUGCAAUAGCAACUCAGGAGCCCACCUAAAAAAUAAGGUGUGAAAUAGCAACUUAGGAACCCGCCUGAAAAACAAGGUGAUGAAAUUGCGAGUCAGGAGCCAGCCUAAAGAACAGGGUGAUGAAAUAGAAACUCAGAAGCCCGCCUAAAGAAUAGGGUGAUGAAACCUAAAGAAUAGGAUGAUGAAAUAGCAACUCAGAAGCCCGCCUAGAGAACAGGGUGAUAAAAUAGCAACUCAGGAGCCCACCUGAAGAACAGGGUGAGGAAAUUGCAAGUCAGGAUCCCAGCUGAAGAUCAGGGUGAUGACAUAGCAACUUAGGAGCCCGCUUGAAAAAUAGGGUGAUGAAAUUACAAGUUAGAAGCCCUUCUGAAGAACGGGGUGAUGAAAUUGCAAGUCAGGAGCCCACUUUAAGAAUAAGAUGAUAAAAUUAUAAGUCAAGAGCCCGCCUGGAGAACAGGGUGAUGAAAUUACAAGUCAGGAGCCUGCCUGAAGAACAGGGUGACGAAAUUGCAAGUUGUGAUUCUGCUUGGAGAAUAGGGUGAUGAAAUUGCAAGUCAGGAAUUAAAAGUCUGGAGUCUACCUAGAGAACAGGGUGAUGAAAUUGCAAGUUAGAAGCCCGUCUAAAAAAUAGGGUGAUGAAAUUGCAAGUCAGGAGCCCGCCUAGAGAAGAGGGUAAUAAAAUUACAACCCAGGAGCCCGCCGGAAGAACAAGGUGAUGACAUUACAAGUUAGGAGUCUGCCUGAAGAACAGGGAGAUGAAAUAGAACCUCAGGAGCCCGCAUGAAGAGCAGAGUGAUGAAAUAGCAAGUCAGGAGCCCACCUGAAGAACAGGAUGAGAAAAUUGCAAGUCAGGAGCCCACCUAAAGAACAGGGUGAUGACAUAGCAACUCAGGAGUCCGCCUGAAGAACAGGGUGAUGAAAUUAUAAUUAAGGAUCCCGCCUGAAGAAUAGGGUGAUGAAAUUGCAAGUCAGGAGCCCACCUAAAAAAUAGGAUGAUGAAAUUGCAAGUCAGGAGCCUGCCUGGAGAACAGAGUGAUAGAAUUGCAAGUUAGGAGCAUGCCUAAAGAAUAGGUUGAUGAAGUUGCAAGUCAAUAGCCCACCUGGAGAACAGGGUGAUGAAACUGCAAGUCAAGAGCCUGCUUGGAGAACAGGGUGAUGAAAUUAAAAGUCAGGAGCCCGUCUGAAGAACAGUGUGAUAAAAUUGCAAGUCAGGAGCCCGACUGAAGAACGGGGAGAUGAAAGUACAAGUCAAAAGCCCGCAUGGAGAAUAAGAUGAUGAAACUACAAGUUAGGAGCCCGCCUGAAGAAUAGGGUGAUAAAUGACAAGUCAGAAGCUCACCUGAAGAAUAUGGUGAUGAAAUUGCAAGUUAGGAGCCCACCUGAAGAACAAGGUGAUAAAAUUGCAAGUCAAAAGCACACCUAAAAAGCAGGGUUAUGAAAUGGCAAGUCUAGAACCCUCCUAAAGAGCAGGGUGAUGAAAUGGCAAGUCAGGAGUCCUCCUGAAGAAUAGGAUGAUGAAAUGAAAAGUCAGGAGCCCGCCUGAAGAACAGGGUGAUAAAACUGAAAGUCAAGAUGAAAUAGCAAGUCAGGAGCCCGCUUGGAGAAUAAGGUGAUGAAAUUAAAAGCAGGAGCCUGCCUGAAUAACAUGGUGAUGAAAUUUCAAGACAGGAGCCCGUCUGAAUAACAUGGUGAUAAAAUUAAAAGUCAGGAGCCCGCCUGAAGAACAGGGUGAUGAAAUUGCAAGUCAGGAGCCCGCUUGAUGAACAGAGUGAUGAAAUAACAAGUCAGAAGCCUGCUGAAGAAUAGGGUGAAAAAAUUGAAAGCCAAGCAAUAAGGUUAAGAGAUUGAAAUUUAGGUAACAAAGUGAAAUAAUGGAAAGUCAAUAAAGUGAGAAAAUUACAAAUCGAGAGCCCGUCCGAAGAACAAGGUGGUGAAAUAGAAAAUCUAAAGAUUAAAAAAUACCAAGUCAGGAGCCCGCCUGAAGAACAGGGUGAUGAAAUUGAAAGCCAAGCAACAAGAUGAAGCAAUUGUAAGUCAGGAGCCCGCCUGAAGAAUAGAGUAAAGAUUUUCAAAUAUAGGAUCAAGGUUCAGAAGUACUACCGACAAAAUAUGGUCAAUUUGUGAGUUCAUAUCCAGCAUUAAAUUUUGUAUGGAGAAGGAAUCUAUUCUCAAGUUCAACCAAAAGAAGAUUAGAUCUUUUAUCAAUUUUGAUAGCAUCAGAAACUCAAGUCAAGAGUCCAAAAGAAGCUACAUAAAUAAGACUUUUUGUAAUUUCAUUUAUCUUUUUAACUUGUAACUUUCACUUUGAUGUAAUAAUAAAGCUGCAGAGCGGAACCUCGACAAAUCUUCACUCAACUCUCUAACUCAGGAUAGUCUACUUUCUUUCCAACGUUUGAAAUACUCGUGACUCGAUCCCCUCAUAAUCUGGGUAAGUAGGAUGUCCAAAAUCAAGAAUUGGUUGCAUUUCUUCCUUAUGUUUCUUCCAUUUGAAUAAUGGCCAGGUCAAACUUCGAUUUCAUUGUCUACUUCUUGUCACGCCCCGUUUUUCUCGUGGAAAGCGAAAUUCGACUUGACAAACUCUUUUUGGAAUUACGUUAAGGAUAAGGUGUGAAGAGUCACCACCUAACAUACUUCGAUCUAGGAUACUACGAACCUAUUUUUUAUUAUUUAAGCAUAGUUCACCAGAGUUUGGGUAAGGGUUUAAAUUACCUCAAAAGAAAGGUGUUAGGCACCUUUCGAGGUCCACAAAGGUGGUUCCCGACCGAAUUCAUACUUUACAUGGGGAUUCUACGUGAUCAAAUAAAGUCUCUCAUUUUAUUAUUAUUUUAACGUUAAACUAAGUGAUAAAGAAAUUAAUAAACACACAUGUUAUUUUUAAUUGUUGAUUAUCUAAGUGAUAAAGAUAAAUAAAACAUGUAAAUAAGACAAGCGAGGAGAAAGAAAGCAAGAUAAUUUAUGAUAAACAUGACCCAAGGGCCAAACUCUUAGAUGAGUAAUAAUACCAUUAGCCUCGCCAUUAAUAUCUGUUGGGAUCAUCGUUUUCGAAUGACUACCCGUCCCACCCCACCUAGGCUGGAUGUCAAGUCUAAGGGCGUUUUAUGACAAGGAUAAAACUAACGUUUUUAAUAAUAAGUAACGUCCCACUAUCGCCCAAGAGGCGUUGGACUUAACUAUUUUGGAUUUGUGUUCUAGACAAAAGUAAAGCUAUGUUGUCUAGGACUCGAAGAGCAUAACACUUUGGACAGCAACUAACACAUAAUAGUCCCACAUUUGUCACUUGGUUUACUAAUGUUAAUUAAUGUGAUAGCAUGCGAAGACAAAUAAUUAUUUGUUAUGUUGUUAACCUAUAAACAUGAUAUCUAAAUGUUCAACAAAUAGUGAUAAAGGACGACUGUGACUCGUGUAUGCAACAAUGUAAUGUGUGUUCAUCAGGGGUGUCACAAGUGUGGUAAUUGUGUCAAGAGAUGUGCUCGUGAAUUAAGAGUUAUAAACUAUAAUGAGAAUAUAAGAAACUAGUAAAAUAUUAAAGGAUGCGUUAACAUAUUACGGAUGCACUUAAAUGCGAAGGGCAGAUUAACAUGUAGAAAAUGUAGAGAUUUACUAAUAUUUUAGCAUGCUGAAAGCCAACUAAACAUGCUGAAAAAUUAAUUAAACAGGUUGAAGAAGUUGAUUAAACAUGCUAAAAAAUUAAUUAACCAGAAAGGUUAUGUUAAAAAGUUACUUAAACAUGCUAAAAAAAUUAGUUAAUCAUGCUAAAAAAUUAAUUAAACAUGCUGAGAAUAGCAUUAAGGUAUAGUAUUUUCAUGUUGAUAUGCUGAAAACAUGCCAAGAAAGCCUAAAAUCUAAUAUUUUAACACGCUAUAAAUAUAGGGAACUAGCAUUUUAAACAUGAUGGAAUUAAGUCUAAGUGCUGAAAUAUAUUUAGAUGCGCAAAAAAAUCAUUUAAACAUGCUGAAAAUUAAUCUAAAAUUGCUAAACUAGAUGUUAGACAUAAUGAAACUAUGAUGUUAACAUGCUCAAAUAAUAAGUUGUACUUAACAUGCAAAAAUUAAUGUAAUAAGCUAAUGUAUCGAAAAUAUUAUCAUGCCUUAAUUCAAUAUGAAUAUGUUAAAAAAGUAUUAGCAUGCUUAGGUUCAAAUCAAUAUGCUUAACAUGCAGAAAUACAUCAACAUGCCUAACGUCAAAUUAAUAAGCUUAAUAUCAAUUAAUAUGAUACAUCAAUUUUAGCUAGAUAAGAGUAAUUAAUAAACCGUAGCAAGAUUCAUAUUCAUAGACCCUAAUUUUGUGCCUAGAUGAUUCAAAUAACACGUCUUGCACGUAAUCCUAAGUUGUGCCUACCUGUGCCGUUCACAGAGCACAUAAUCCCCGCCCCCAAAGCAGUCCCCAAAAUUUUUAUUACAUCAUUAAUAAAUGUCUUGACAGAGAUUACAAACCGAAUAAUGCGAAAAAUAUUCAAUUUAACAUCCCGGUGACUCUUAAUCCAAUGCUGACAUGCUGGUUCGUUGUCGGAAAGGGGAAAUAAAUGGAGAGAUAGUGAUGGAGGCUGAGGGGCUGGCGGCGCAGAGGCGGUGGUAGAUCUGGUCUCAUCGGAGUAGGCACUGGCAGCUGUAUAGUGGGUGGUGGGACAGCUAUCGGAGAAGGAGGUCUCGGUGGCGCUACUCCGCCGAUCAGCGGCGGCAGCCAUGGGAGAGAGAGGUUAGAUAGAGAGAGAAGGAGAGAGGUGAGAGAGAGAGGGGGAGGCUGUUGUUUGGUUUUGGAAUUAGAGUUAGGUUUUUGGAUUAAAAAGGAAAGAAAGGUGUAUCAAAUCUCAAUUGUUGGAUCCAUGUAGGAUCAAUGACUGAGGUUUAAAGAUUGAAAAUUUGGAAUUGAGUUUCAAAAAAUGGCUAAAAUUGCAAGAAAUUGGAUAAAAUUAGGUAAAAAGGUUAAUAAAUUUAGGCAAAAUGAAUUAAAUUAGGCUGUUAUUUAAAUUAAAGUAGGGAUAAUAGUAUAUGAUAAUAAUAAUUAAAUAAUAAAUAACAAUAUUAAAUAAUAAGUAAUAAAUAAUAUUAAAUAAUAAUAAAUAAUUUAAUAAAAUAAAUAAUGGAAAACUAGAUACUGUGUUUGCAAAAAUGUGGAUGUGCAUAACUACGUGGAAAAUAAUUUAAUAAAUAUUACUAAAAAUUACAUAAAAUGUUGAAUUUGAGUUUAAAAAUUAUGACAAUGAUACUAAAAGGUAAGAAAUAAUUUAUGCAUUUUUUUAAUUAUAAAUGCGACACGUUAGUAUGUACUCAAUGUAAGAAUAAUAUGUAAAAAUAUUGAUAAUUAAAAUUAAAUAAUUUUGAUAUAAUAACAGCCUAAAAGUGAUAUCGGGUGGUCAAAAUUGGGUGUCAACACUUCUUUGUGUGCAAACACUUUGUGUUUAUAUUCAAAGAGGAGCAUGAUGUAGACACGUAAUUUUGUCCCUUCCAAAAGCAAAAUUUUACAAUAUACCUCAUUUUACCAUGCACCCUCAAUCAUGUGAUAAGUUUCACACAAGAAAACAAUAAAUUCAUAACCAUUUUUGACACCUCACCUGACAAAUUUCACCUCAUCGUAACCACCCCAAUCCCCUACUCCACAUACCCCUACCCAUCCCAUGUACCUCCUAGCCCCACCGUCCUUGACAUGUUUUUUUCUCUUCCUUUUGCAAUAUAGCAGAAUAUGCACAUACUCUCAUAUGCGGACUCAUCCCCCACAAUAUACAUACACACUCACUGGUAUAGAGAAUUAGCAGCAACAAUAGAUGUCGUAUGCACUCCAUAAUAUAAUACACUCACUAGAAAAUAAGAGAAACAAUCCACGCACACCAGACAUUCUUUCAUUUUCACCAAUACACACAACUUUCACUCACAGAAGAUCACACACACAUUCACGCACAGGGGGGAAAGAAAAGAGGACCUCACCAUACCAUCGACACUAUUCUCACACGAAAACCUCACUGAAAUACAUCCACCCCACUAAAAUAUAAUUUAUUAAAAUCACAAACAUACACUCACGCUCAUAGUAACACACUCACACACGGAAAGUAGAAGUAGAGGGUAAAUGAUGAACGAAGGGAGAUAGAAAACAUAGUGACAGAUGAGUGAAAUGGAGCUGACCGGAGAGAGAUCGGAGAAACAGAAAGAAGAAAAACACUCACCGAAAACAACCUGUCCAGUGGUGCAAGCCCACCGAAAAACCAGUUUCGCCCACUAAGCUUUCGAAACCAGAGACCAAAGGCCUCAAAACUGACCAAAUGUUUAUAUUCAGGCGAGGCCCCGCUCAAUUUUUGGUGAAAAGCCAGCGAGAUUUCGCCGAAAAUUCCAUCGGCUCGUUGACCAUCAUCCAACCAUCCAAAGCGACCUUAAUCUAACUCAACUUCACUGUCCUGGAGGGGAUUUUGUCUUUCUUUCGUGAGUUUUGGCCUGGUUAGUGAGAAAUAGAAUCAGGUGUGGGUAGGGAAACUUGGGAAUUGUGAAAUGAACUUUAAUUUUGUCGAAUUCGAUAGUAUUUUGUUUAGGCCAUCAAAUAGAUUGGUAAACUUAGGGAUUAUGAAUUGUGAAUGUUUGAAGUGUUUGUUGAAUGGUGUUGGUUUUCUCGUAUUGAAAAAAUGUACUCAUUUAGACGAGGAAUGCCCGAGGUCAUUUGUAUUUAUCCACCGGGGAAUAUCCCGAAGUAUCUUGUACGCGAAGGACGUUCGUGAUGAAGGUCCGAGGCAUUGGGUAGAGCAUAGUUCAGGGUUAGUAUAGGUUAAUGUAAGUUUAUUUCUGUAUCUUUAUUUCACACUGUAAUAAUUGGACUGAACACUGUAUUUUGGAGUUUGAAUUGUUUGGUUGUUGUUUUUUUUUUUUUUUGAGUUUUUGUUGGUUUAUACAUUUUAUAGUGUUGUACUAGCCGAUAUACUCCAUGAAGCGCCCGUGGUUGAACCAUUAGAUCGGGGGAUGCCUAACACCUUCCACUUGGUCAACAGAUGUUUGGUUGUUGUUUUUUUUUUUUUGAGUUUUUGUUGGUUUAUACAUUUUAUAGUGUUGUACUAGCCAAUAUACUCCAUGAAGCGACCGUGGUUGAACCAUUAGAUCGGGGGAUGCCUAACACUUUCCACUUGGUCAAUAGAAUUCCUUAGCCGGAAUCUCUAUUCACAAAUCAGUUUAAAGAGUCAAAAUUGUUUUGAAAAAGGAUUUCCAAAGAUAACUUGGCACACCGAUUUAUGCCAAGUGGCGACUCUGAGUUUAAAUGUAAAAAAAUCUUUUUUCGAAAUAAACUUUAUCUUUUGUCACUUAAUAAUAAAAACCCUUUCAACCUUAAAAUGAAAUCUUUUUGAUAAAAAAGAGGUGUGAAAAGCAGUACCAGUUCUUGAGAUGUUCGGAAAUAAAUUAAGUCAUUAACUGAAUUAUUGUGUUUUAAUAAAGUUAAGCCUGAUCAUGUUAACCUUCGAUCAAAACGACCUUGGAUUAGUGUUUUAAUAUUUCCAAUAGGGACAGAACAUACUUUUAGUCAAUGUACAUAUUUAGUCUAUUCCCUCGAGGCUCCAAACAAAUUUCGAGAAACUUUUCAAAGUUUUGAAUAUUUUAGACAUUAUUUUAGUUGGUGGUUAAUGUGCCAAGUUGACAUCUUCUUAAUUAUUGAGACUUAUGUACUAGAGUAAAACAUAAGUGGUAAGGGUUUGGAAUUAACUUUAAUAAUAACAAGUUAGGGUAAGACAGGGGCACGACAGUUAGCAGUUAUUUUUCCUCUUCUGUAGUUUCAAGAAGAACCUCUCGAUUGAGCUUCAGGUAACCCCUUUUAUGUGAAUUAAUUUUCUAUUGUCUUGUCUAUCUACUGUUAAGUAUAUACUUAUGAGUAGGGGUGGCAAACGAGCGGAUUGGAUUGGAUUUGGACGGGUUAAAUAUGGAUCGAGCAAAAAUAGUUUGGAUUGCAAUCCGCCCAUAUAAAUAUGGGUAAAUAUGGAUUUGAUCAAAUAUGAAUUGGGUAAAAAUGGUUUCAACCCAUUUUAACUCCCAAAUCAAAAACUUAAAACUUCUAUAUCAUAUCAACUUGACUUUUUUUUCCAUUUCUUUUUUUUUAGUUUUUUCUUUUUAGUUUUUUUUGUCUCUCUUCUAUAUGUAACCUCUAGUUUUCUUUUCUUUUUUUCCUUUUUUUUGUCAUUUCUUUUUUUUUUUUUCUCUUUUCUAUCUCUACCCUCUACCAUUUGUUUCUCUUUUUCUUUUUUCUUUUUUCUUUUUCCUUUUUAGUCUUCUUUUUUUCUUUUUUUAAGUUUUUUGUUUUUACUUCUUUCUCUUUUUUUUUUCUUUUUUGGUUGUAUUUUAUGUUUUAUAUUUUUUUUAUUUUCGAAGAACAUGGUUAAGUUGAGUACAAAUUAUGGAUGAUGGCUAAAAUAUCGUAACCACUCAGUAUAUUUGUUUUCACCAUCUUCUUUUUUCUUUUUCAUUUUCUCCUUUUUCAUUAUUUUUUCUUUUUGAUUUUUUUUGUAUUAUUUUUCUUCAAUUCUUUCUUUACACUUUUUUCUCUCUUCUAUCUCUAACUUCUACCUCUCUUUCUACUUUUUUUUUCUAUUUUUGGUUUCCUUUUUUUUUUAUGAUAACAAAAAUACCAUAAGCGCAUGUUGAUUUAUAUUCGCCCAACAUUUAUGAUUCGAGGGCUAUGUGGAUCCUCAUCUAUAUAUAUUUUAGUCUCAAGAAAAUACAAUUAAUUCAUAUACUUUUUUUGAUUUUUUAUCCGGUGUCCGGUGCCUGUAUUGGAGCCCCGACUAAUCCGGAUCGGGCGUUGCAGUGCCCAUUAAGGUGGCAACGCUCCCAACAGAGUUUUCUCUAUAACCAGGGUCAUACCCUCGACCUCUGGUUAAGGGUGGAGCAGCCCCAUCUACUGCACCACAACCCAUGUUGAUUUUAAUUCAUAUAUUUGUUUGUAUAUAAAUACAAAUGAUAAAUUGCACAUAUUGACAACUAAACUAUUCAAAUACAAAUAAUAAACUUAUUUUAAAUAUAUAGUAUGAUACAAAUCAAUUUAAAGUAAAAAAAUAUAAAAUGCAAUGACAAAAAAAAGAUAAGGAAAAGAAUAUAAAAAAAUAAGAAAAAUGACGAACCAAGAAUGAAAAAGGGGGAAACGGAAAUACAAAAAAAAGAAUGCAAAGAAAUAAAAUUAAAAAGGAAAAAAAUGAUGAAAAAGAAGAAAGAAAAAAAGUGUAAGAAACAAGUAAAAAAUAAGUGGAAAAAAUGAAAAAGAAAAAAAAUAAAUCAAAGGAAAAAAAAAAUAGUAAAUUAAAGGAAAAAAGAAAGAAAGAAUGAAAAAAAAAAAGAGAGAAAUAAAAGAUAGAAAAAAAUAAUAAUAAAGGAGUGAGACUAUGGAUUAUAUUUAAUUGAUAAGAGAUGUUAUGAAUUAUAUAGGCUAAAUGGCAUAAUUAGAAGCUUAUAUUUUACUAACCCAUGUAGGUUUCAAGCGAAUACGAAUGAUGAAAUAAGAAUGAGAAAGGGGAAAGCGAAAAAAAAGAAUAUAAAGAAAAAAGAAAUAAAAAAAUAAAAAAAUAGAUGAAAAAAUGAGAAAGAAAAAAAGAAAUUAUAAGGAAUGAGUAAAAAAAUGAAAAAAAAAAAAGUAAAUUAAAGGAAAAAAAAGAAAAAAGAAAAAGAAAAGAAAAAAAACUGAAACUUUAAGCAUAGGUGGGUGAUCUCUAUGUUUAAAUGGGUACCCAUAUUUUACCCAUUUUAUUCAUAUUUGUAUGAGCUUUUAAAAUGAGUUGAAGUUCAUAUUUACCCAUUUGAAAUAUGAGUAAUCCAAUUCACUAAAUAUGGAUUAAAUUCCGGUGUAUUAGGAUUAGAGUUAUUAAUUAAUGGAUUGAUUAGACUGUAGUGAUAACGAGAAUGAUAUGGUGAUUAGUGGGCAACAAUGUACGGGUAAAGUUAAUUAGAUAAUGUUAAUGGUGUGAUCUUAUGGAUAAUUAUUAAUUGGGUUGGUUAUGUACUGUUUUAUAAUAAUAUUAAUAUAACUAUUAGUGGUUGGCUACUAGGAGUAACGAAAUCUCACUACUAGACGUGUUUGCUCAUGGCCGAACUGAUGUUAUGCUCUUAGUUAAUUUAAGUACGGAGUGAUGGUAAUGGAGAAUUAGCGAUAGGAUUGGCUUAUGGCUAAUGAUUUUCAUGUUGUUGAAGAUUUUUAGUUCACAAUAGUUUGUGUAUUAGGGUGGACUCUGAGAUUUAUAGAAUUGAGGUAUAGGUCUAUAGUUUUUUGAGUGAAAAUAUAUCAAGAUUGGUGAUCGAAUGAUGGUCUAUUUUAGUUGAAAUUUGACACACUAGUUCAUACGCUUACGAAAAAUGUAUAUUUGAACAGAUUUAAACCAUUCGAAAGCUUUAAGAAAAGGAAAGACCCUUGCAAAGUAGCUUGCAUUCGGAUUCUUCGGUUGAGGUAGGUCACGAUUUAAUUAGAGUUAGACUCGAUUUAAUUAUGUGUAUGCUCCUAAAUUGGAUGUUUGUUGAUUGGUAUUCGGACAUGCUUGAAUUUGAUGAUAUUUGGAUUGUUGAGACGUGUAUAAAUAAUUAUUGAAAAUUUACUUGUUGAAAUUGUCUUAUGACUUUAAGUGUACUUGUAAACUUAGUACACCGUAUUGUAUCCUGGGAGGUAGUGUAAAUUUGAUAAAACAUACCUAAUAUGAUUAUGGAGUAUCGGGAACCACGUUGGUACGAAUAUGAUAUUGAUAUUACUUAUUUAUGGAGGAUCGGGUACCACGUCGGUACGGAUAUGAUAUUGAUAUUGCUUAUUUAUGAGGGAUCGGGUACCACACUGGUACGAAUAUGAUAUUGAUAUUACUUGUUUAUGGUGGAUCGGGUACCACGCCGGUACAAAUAUGAUAUUGAUAUUACUUGUUUUAUAGAGGAUCAGGUACCACACCGGUACGGUACACGAAUAUAGAUUAUUCCCUGCCUAGCUUGGCAAAAUAAGUCCCUGAGCAUGUGUGUACAUAUUUGUGUUGAAUUUGAGAGGUUGUAUGGGUUAUAAAGCAGAUAACGGCUAACGGUGCUCUAACUACGAGGUUUAGGAGGAUGUAGUUGUUACUUGUGGUAUUGUUGUUGAUUCUGUGGAUGUUUAUGUAAGACCCCAUAAAAGUCCUAGUCUAAUCCAGUCCUAUAUAGCAUGAAAAAGAGGUGCCAGACUUGGAAAAAUUUCAGCCAAGUGUUUAUACUUAGAAUCAUUUUUGGUCUUCAUAAUUUGAUGAUCAUAUUUUUUAUCUUGACGACCCUAAAUUAUCGAUUUCUAAAUUGAUUCAUGAUCGGGGACGUCAAUAGGUGUUCUCGAACGAGUUUUAAAUUUUUCGAACAUCGUUUGAGGCACGUUUGGGUGUCCAAAAUAGUGCAUUGAUCCGAUCUCGAUGCGCCGCAUCACCUAUCGCGUUGACAGUGUUGUCACCAGCUCAAGUGGGCAGGUUUCAGUGAGCCAAUGCGAUCUCAACGCAUCACGUCUGCCAUUGCGUCGACCCCAUCGACGCAGCGCAUCGGUUUGCGCGUCGCUGGGUGUAUUUUUUAGUAAUUAAAUCUACGUCCAUAGGGGUAUUUGGGUCAAUUUUCCCACAUUUAUUCAACCCUAAAACACAAGAUUAAGCCACCCUAGAGGCAAAAUUCAUUCUUUAUUCUCAAAUUCUCUCAAGAACGAAACCCUAGGGCAUUCAAUUUCAAGUCCAAGUUUCAAGAACACGCCAUCAAUCUUCACGAAUUUGAUUACUAAGGUAUGUUAGGUGUUCAUCCUUGGAUUUUCUUCCACCCUUGGAGUUUAAGAACCCUUUUUAAACUACAAUUUUAUGAUUCUAUGGUUUACAUGUUGGAAUUUGAUUGUGUUCAUGUAUGUAUUGAUGUUUGGGUUUUCAAUCCAUGAUUAAUUGCAAGUUUCAUGAAAAUCAAGAUAGUAUGUGUGUUGAAUUAUGUGAUCCUUAUGUUAAACCUUCUAAUUGAAAGUUGAGUAUUAUUUUCAUGAUGCUUAUGUGAUGUUCACUAUCAUGUGCAUUAGUUAUGCUCCCCAAGUGUUUGACAAAAUGUUUAAGUAAAUGCAUCGUUAACAAGCAAUUAUUGUUAUGCUUUCAAGAUUAUGUCAUGCUUUACUAUUGGUGCUAUCGAGUCCUGGGGGUAUUCAAUACCCGACAAUCUAGUUGUUUACCUAGAAUUACAGUAACUAUAGAGUAGUCUCGGUAAUGUCACAAACAGUAUUACUCAGUCAGUUACAGAACUCAGUCCAGUUCAGUCAGUCAAUACGAUCAGUAACUAUUCGGUCAAGCCUGGCACAGUCUAGUGAUCAGUCCAGUGUCCAUUUAGUUGGAAGUAGGAUUCAGCACCGAGCGAAUCCAGGGAUGGGGGCAUGCCUGCCAGCAGAGGGUUUGACCCUUAGUAGCAGUCCCUGAGUUACAGAACUACGAAGCCAGCGUAGGGUAAGACGUCCUCCUGCCAGACUAGGGUUGACAUAACCAUAUAUAUAUUUAUAUAUAUAAUUCAUGAGUCUUCCUGCCAGAUUAGGGUUGACCCAGCAUUGUUAGUAUCCCUUGGCAAGGUGCUAACACCCUUCCAACCGGGGUCACAUAUUGGACCCCAACUCAGUUUAUAAUCGAGGUAUAUCGGUUAGAUGAACACUUCCACAGUUACAGUUUCUGACUCAAUAUAGAACUCAGUUCAGUUAUACAGAAUCAGGCCUGUCAGAAACUGUCACCCAAUUAUCAGUAAUACAGUUAUCAGUAAUCUCAAAUAUGAGUCACUCAAUUAUCAAAACUCAGUACUCAGUCUCAGUAUGAUCUCAGACAUAAUAUAUAUAUAUAUAUANNNNNNNNNNNNNNNNNNNNNNNNNNNNNNNNNNNNNNNNNNNNNNNNNNNUAUAUAUAUAUAUGCAUAGUAUUGCAUACUCAAUAUUCACAGCAGUCUCAGUUACCCAUGUACUCUCAUUCAGUUAUACUUAUAUCAUUCAGUUAGUAAAUGUUCAUGCAAAUGAACCCAUGUAUAUCAGCCUACCUCACUUAGUAUACUAGUACAUUUAAAUUACUGACGCAUACUCUUUUGCUUGGACUAUGAUAUCUCAUAUCAUAGGUUCGAACGCACAGGUUCCUGACCACGCUUAGCCAGAUUCAGUUAGCAGCAGUAGAUUCGGUAGCGAUUCCUCAUCUAUCAAGGAUAUUAUUCUUUUUCAGUAUGUAGUAGUCGGAGUUAGUUGGGGACUUUUUCCAUUAACUCCACAUUCAGAUAGUUCAGUUAGAGGCUUUUCGGACUAGACUAUUUUCGACAGAUAUUCAGUUAUUUAGUAUUACUAUCAGUGUUUAUUAUUUAUUUUAGUAUUCAAAUUAUGAACCUUAUGGCAUUGCAGUUAUACUUUCGCAUUUAUUUCAG
This 21652-nucleotide long non-coding RNA is filed under the name Capsicum annuum. Its description in RNAcentral is "long non-coding RNA (CANN_LNC012853)". Lineage: Eukaryota; Viridiplantae; Streptophyta; Magnoliopsida; Solanales; Solanaceae. The record is from RNAcentral.